AUACUGUUCGUUGGGUUACCACAGGGUUACGAUUUUACUUCCCGAUCCUUCCACCAUCUUCCUUUUAUCUCCCACCGCUUCUUCAUCUCGAUCCUUCCACGGGGUUUCUCUUUAGAAGCAAUUGAGCUCCGCCAUCACCACCGUCUUCUUCAGUUCGUGUCAGCGUCGCCCCGGUUAGUUUAACCCUCCUCCUUAUAUAUUUCAUUUUUUAUGUCACACCCUCUAUCACAUAAUCGUCUGCUUCGCCACAGUUUCCCCACCAUAAAAGAACGACCACCCCCACUACCCUAAGAUACACAGUCCAACAAUGUCUUCCAUCUUGUGUAUCUUUGCUCUUGCCGACGACUUCUUCUCCGGCUUCAAUUUCAUCACCGGGCAACACAAAAAAAAAAAUUCAUGUCGGUUGUUCGAUUACUCUCUUAAGUGUGAGACAUAUGAUUUUGGGUUCAAUAGGCAUUUAAUCAGGUACCGCUACCUCUUAUUUCGUCUUUGGUUUUCACAUUUUCAUAAUUUUGGGUUUAUGCUUCUUUCAAUAUCGACGUGACUGGUCGAUUUUGGGUAUAUGAUAUGGACUCAUGGUAAUCGUCCUUCAAUUCUGAUCGCCAUAGAAGCUCGUCUUGUGUAACAAUCAAUUUCAACUCCACCCUCUAGGUCUUUUGGUUUCAAUAGUUCUGAGCAACAUAUACCACCGUCGACUCUUGUGAGGAGGCUGCAACCAGUUGGGCAAAGCAGAGCCCUUCUUAGGGUUUAGGCGCCACGAAUAAUGGGGGUUAGAUGCAAGUUUUGGUUGCUAAAAAAAGUGAUUUUGUGUGAUUCCCCGCUCCCCAAGACUGAGUAAGCUAAGCAAUAAGCAUUACCCAACACUUCCUCAAGAUUUUAACUUGGUGUAUUUCCAAUAUAGGUUCUACGGCAACCACUCUACAAAGUCGGAUGACAGGUGGAUUCAAUGCUCAAUAGACCCCUCCCGGUAAGUUUUGGCUCUUCUCCACUAUCCAUUAUCGAAUUCUUAGUUUUCCUCUUUCUAUAGUUGGUAGUUUGAUUCUAUCCCAUGUAAUGGAACAACUCUGUACUGGAAUCUAACCUUCAGAAUCACCUUAGACGGUGUCCAUUGCUCAAGCAUAAGAACUUGUUGUCCCUCCAACCUUUCUACCAAAAGGGCAUUAAUGGAGGCGAUGAAGAAGAUGAAGACGUUUCCUCAUAGUCCAAGAGGAUGGUUGUGCAAUCUAUCACUGUAAAUGAGUUGAUCAAACUAAUAGAAAAAAUAAAGUUUGUUCACGCUUACAUAUGCAACGACAUUGAAGACUCUUACAACAUCCCGAAAGUUUGUAGGAGUUGGAUUAACCACGCAAAUGACUGGUAUGGAAUGAAAACUGUAGCUUUCUAAUCCGAAUGCCUUUCCUCGUGUGGAUUUUAGAUGAAUUUUUUCCUAAAUAAGCAUACCUCAUGAGUCAUGACAAUAAGCUAAAGAGCUCUUAGAUAACUACAAUAAUUUUAUAGUCACAUACACUUUUAUUAGACUAAUAACAUAUGCAACAUAUACAUAUACUGGUGCCUUUAGUGCAACAUCAAUGAUUAUUUCAGGGUAUUGUGAUUCAUUAGUUACCCUUUCAAUUGUCGAUCCUAUUCAUGGUGCUUUAUAACUUUGAAGUCAUGUGAGUGCACGGAGUAUGUAUCAAUUGGUGCCAGCAACCAUGGACAAAACGAAGACCUUCUGUCACAAUCUCUAUUAGGGCUGGUUUUGGGUUCAUCAAAUGUUUACCAACCAGUUUCUGCAAACAUGAUUCAAUGCUUUCUCUUCGAAUUUCUCUUCCGAUCAGAUUCUAAAACCAAUUGUCAACCCCAAAUCAAAACUUAAGGUUAGGUCUUUUUCUUUUGCUAGAUUAUGGCUUAAUCUUCUUAAAAAAGUUCACAAAUGUUUCAAUUUCAGGUCCUUCUGAUAUCUUAUUAUGUCUUAUUUUUUCAGUAACAAUCAGGCUCAAGAACACUCAUCGAUUUUCUUCUUAUGUAAGUAUUUCUUUUUGUUGUUUAUUGAUGAUUUGAUGAAAUUCAAUGUUGAUGAAAUUCACAGAUGACCUGAACAAUGUGAUGAGCUGAAAUUUGUAUGAGUUGUAUGUGAAUCACUGAAUUGUACACAAAAGAGUUGACUUGAAUUAAGUAUACAUAUAUACCAUCAGCAUGUUUUGAAUAAACUAUGAAAUAUUUGUUUACAUUUUCUUGAAA
Molecule: non-coding RNA, 2220 nt
Organism: Lactuca sativa (garden lettuce)
Lineage: Eukaryota; Viridiplantae; Streptophyta; Magnoliopsida; Asterales; Asteraceae
Source: RefSeq, a predicted model, not a curated record